AUUGAACGCUGGCGGCAUGCCUUACACAUGCAAGUCGAACGGCAGCACGGGUGCUUGCACCUGUUGGCGAGUGGCGAACGGGUGAGUAAUACAUCGGAACAUGUCCUGUAGUGGGGGAUAGCCCGGCGAAAGCCGGAUUAAUACCGCAUACGAUCUACGGAUGAAAGCGGGGAACCUUCGGGCCUCGCGCUAUCGGGUUGGCCGAUGGCUGAUUAGCUAGUUGGUGGGGUAAAGGCCUACCAAGGCGACGAUCAGUAGCUGGUCUGAGAGGACGACCAGCCACACUGGGACUGAGACACGGCCCAGACUCCUACGGGAGGCAGCAGUGGGGAAUUUUGGACAAUGGGCGAAAGCCUGAUCCAGCAAUGCCGCGUGUGUGAAGAAGGCCUUCGGGUUGUAAAGCACUUUUGUCCGGAAAGAAAUCCUUGGCCCUAAUACGGUCGGGGGAUGACGGUACCGGAAGAAUAAGCACCGGCUAACUACGUG
RNAcentral lists this ribosomal RNA (486 nucleotides) under uncultured bacterium. Its description in RNAcentral is "partial 16S ribosomal RNA". It matches the Rfam family "Bacterial small subunit ribosomal RNA", at positions 30 to 507 of the family's 1533-position model. The record is from RNAcentral.